GAUGAGCGCUGGCGGCGUGCCUAAUACAUGCAAGUCGAGCGAACAGACGAGGAGCUUGCUCCUCUGACGUUAGCGGCGGACGGGUGAGUAACACGUGGAUAACCUACCUAUAAGACUGGGAUAACUUCGGGAAACCGGAGCUAAUACCGGAUAAUAUAUUGAACCGCAUGGUUCAAUAGUGAAAGACGGUUUUGCUGUCACUUAUAGAUGGAUCCGCGCCGCAUUAGCUAGUUGGUAAGGUAACAGCUUACCAAGGCAACGAUGCGUAGCCGACCUGAGAGGGUGAUCGGCCACACUGGAACUGAGACACGGUCCAGACUCCUACGGGAGGCAGCAGUAGGGAAUCUUCCGCAAUGGGCGAAAGCCUGACGGAGUAACGCCGCGUGAGUGAUGAAGGUCUUCGGAUCGUAAAACUCUGUUAUUAGGGAAGAACAAAUGUGUAAGUAACUAUGCACGUCUUGACGGUACCUAAUCAGAAAGCCACGGCUAACUACGUG
This 497-nucleotide ribosomal RNA is filed under the name uncultured bacterium. RNAcentral describes it as "partial 16S ribosomal RNA". It matches the Rfam family "Bacterial small subunit ribosomal RNA", at positions 28 to 507 of the family's 1533-position model. The record is from RNAcentral.